Long non-coding RNA from Saccostrea cuccullata (small rock oyster), 1364 nucleotides. RefSeq lists it as uncharacterized. The transcript is spliced from 12 exons. The record is from RefSeq and is a predicted model, not a curated record. Lineage: Eukaryota; Metazoa; Mollusca; Bivalvia; Ostreida; Ostreidae.
UCUUGAGAAUUUUUUAGAGAUAAUAAGAAAAACAAGCAAAACAUAUGCUAGAUUAAUCAUUUUAUUUCAAAAGUUUGAAAGAAAAAUAGAAAAAUGCUUCAAUUUAUAGACAUCUUUUCUGUUUCACAGAUGUGGGUCUGAUUGACGGGGGUGUGAAAUGUAACAGCCAAUGGUGUACUUAAGCUAGGACUGACAGUCCCAAUUUUCAAGAGCAAUGCAUUCUUAAGAUGGAGGAGAUUAAUGAACCCUCCCCCCUUACAAUGAACAACACAUGGACACUCUGAGGAUGAUCCCUUUGCUUCCAUUAAGAGUUCCAAGAUGUGGGUCUGAUUGACGGGGGUGUGAAAUGUAACAGCCAAUGGUGUACUUAAGCUAGGACUGACAGUCCCAAUUUUCAAGAGCAAUGCAUUCUUAAGAUGGAGGAGAUUAAUGAACCCUCCCCCCUUACAAUGAACAACACAUGGACACUCUGAGGAUGAUCCCUUUGCUUCCAUUAAGAGUUCCAAGAUGUGGGUCUGAUUGACGGGGGUGUGAAAUGUAACAGCCAAUGGUGUACUUAAGCUAGGACUGACAGUCCCAAUUUUCAAGAGCAAUGCAUUCUUAAGAUGGAGGAGAUUAAUGAACCCUCCCCCCUUACAAUGAACAACACAUGGACACUCUGAGGAUGAUCCCUUUGCUUCCAUUAAGAGUUCCAAGAUGUGGGUCUGAUUGACGGGGGUGUGAAAUGUAACAGCCAAUGGUGUACUUAAGCUAGGACUGACAGUCCCAAUUUUCAAGAGCAAUGCAUUCUUAAGAUGGAGGAGAUUAAUGAACCCUCCCCCCUUACAAUGAACAACACAUGGACACUCUGAGGAUGAUCCCUUUGCUUCCAUUAAGAGUUCCAAGAUGUGGGUCUGAUUGACGGGGGUGUGAAAUGUAACAGCCAAUGGUGUACUUAAGCUAGGACUGACAGUCCCAAUUUUCAAGAGCAAUGCAUUCUUAAGAUGGAGGAGAUUAAUGAACCCUCCCCCCUUACAAUGAACAACACAUGGACACUCUGAGGAUGAUCCCUUUGCUUCCAUUAAGAGUUCCAAGAUGUGGGUCUGAUUGACGGGGGUGUGAAAUGUAACAGCCAAUGGUGUACUUAAGCUAGGACUGACAGUCCCAAUUUUCAAGAGGAAAAACCCCUACAUAAACAAAUACAUGGGCGCAGACAUUUUGGACACCCAAAGUUGUGCGGAGGAGAAAAUGCUAGCUGGCGCAUGGUUGGUCAAUAAGAGAAAAGACUUGUUAUGUAUCUGACUAGUGAAAUAAAGUUGAUAAAAAUCUCAUAGCAAGACUUGGGAUUCUUUGAGAUAUAUAGGAGUUACAGGUAAAAAUUUGAA